GGUGGCAUGGCUCAUUAGUAGAGCACCUCUAACAAGCAUCAGAUCCUGAGUUCAAAUCCCAGUGCUACCA
This 70-nucleotide transfer RNA is filed under the name Dipodomys ordii (Ord's kangaroo rat). It matches the Rfam family "tRNA". Rfam says of the family: Transfer RNA (tRNA) molecules are approximately 80 nucleotides in length. Their secondary structure includes four short double-helical elements and three loops (D, anti-codon, and T loops). Further hydrogen bonds mediate the characteristic L-shaped molecular structure. tRNAs have two regions of fundamental functional importance: the anti-codon, which is responsible for specific mRNA codon recognition, and the 3' end, to which the tRNAs corresponding amino acid is attached (by aminoacyl-tRNA synthetases). tRNAs cope with the degeneracy of the genetic code in two manners: having more than one tRNA (with a specific anti-codon) for a particular amino acid; and 'wobble' base-pairing, i.e. permitting non-standard base-pairing at the 3rd anti-codon position. The record is from Rfam by way of RNAcentral. Lineage: Eukaryota; Metazoa; Chordata; Mammalia; Rodentia; Heteromyidae.